Molecule: long non-coding RNA, 499 nt
Organism: Hevea brasiliensis (rubber tree)
Lineage: Eukaryota; Viridiplantae; Streptophyta; Magnoliopsida; Malpighiales; Euphorbiaceae
Exons: 2
Source: RefSeq, a predicted model, not a curated record
AUCUAUUUUUUAAUUAUUUUUUUGCGAACGUGGAAUUUAAUAUGCAUUCUCUAGAUCCCGAGGGGUCGGGGUUACCAUAUCUCUCUCUCUUUCUCUCUGAUUUCUUUUGAAAUUCUCGUCUUUGAGAGAUUCUUUACGGAGAAGAGGAGGUUAUUAUGAUGAUUAUUUUUUGGUUUUAAUGGGCCUGGAUCUGGGUGUUAAAAGUUCUAGGGUUUUCAAUGUAACUUCUUGCUUGUUUUAAGCUUGGAAGCUGUUUGAUUUACUGGGAAAGACAAGAAAGUGAAUUGGGCUUUGCUCUUUUUAAUUAUUUUAUUUGGGCUAUUUGUUGAAUUGGAUGUCGAGACUGUGAAUUGGGGAUUUUGUUUCCAUCGAUUUCAAAUAUAUAGGGUUUAUAUUUUGAAUAUUUAUUUAUGAGGUAUGGGGGAGUGCUACUGGUACACGUUGUAAUUUGGAUACACAGUUAGAAGGAUUUAAAUAUAAAUCAAAAUAGUUUCUCAAA